UACGGGGGGGGCAAGCGUUGUUCGGAAUUACUGGGCGUAAAGGGUUCGUAGGUGGCUGUCUAAGUCAGACGUGAAAUCCCUCAGCUCAACUGGGGAACUGCGUCUGAGACUGGAAAGCUCGAGUGCAGGAGAGGAACGCGGAAUUCCAGGUGUAGCGGUGAAAUGCGUAGAUAUCUGGAGGAACACCGGUGGCGAAGGCGGCGUUCUGGACUGCAACUGACACUGAGGAACGAAAGCCAGGGGAGCAAACGGG
RNAcentral lists this ribosomal RNA (253 nucleotides) under uncultured bacterium. RNAcentral's name for it is "partial 16S ribosomal RNA". It matches the Rfam family "Bacterial small subunit ribosomal RNA", at positions 524 to 776 of the family's 1533-position model. The record is from RNAcentral.